Molecule: RNA transcript, 1283 nt
Organism: Folsomia candida
Lineage: Eukaryota; Metazoa; Arthropoda; Collembola; Entomobryomorpha; Isotomidae
Exons: 5
Source: RefSeq, a predicted model, not a curated record
CGCCUGGGAUCAGGCGCUAGAUGUUCCACCAUCUCCUGUAGCUGCGUCCCUGAAGCCUAAAAAUAGUGCUUCAUUUGUGAAGAUUGCAGGUGCAUUCUCUUGUUCAACGGAUGGUGAAAUUUUCGGCCUUUUUCGAGAUGACCAUGGAAAAAGCUUUUCCUUAGCCCCAAUCGAAACACCGCCGAAUAUGAAGCCCAUCUUAAAUUUCGCGGUUGAUCCGAUCCAAGAGCAAUUUAGCAAGUCUCCACGGGUUAUACAAUCCUCAAACGGCACGGUCUUUGUGUGUUCCAACUAUCAACUUAAAGUGAUGAAGCCAGAUCGAUCGUUUCAAACAACUGUUGAAGAUGCCUAUGUUGAAUUUUAUGGAUGGAAGGAAUCCUGCGGAACAAUAUCGUCUCAAUGGGACAUGUCCAAGUAUCUGCAGUACACCAAUUCCGAAGGGGUACGCCUAAACGAUAAGGAGACCUGCGAUGUUACUUUUAUACUAGCCGAUGGCACCGUCCAUGCCCACAAGGAAAUUCUCAGACGACGACUAGUAUACUUCGAUAAAAUGUUUAGCAAAAAUUGGGCUGAAGAUGGGCAAAGGUAAGGUGUUGCUAACAAUAGAAGCUUAAGAAGUUGUCGGCCCCUAUUUUAUCAAACUGGUCUCAGAAUCCAUUAGUCAUAUUCUGAAAAAAACACUGCUCCUGGGACUACCGGUAAAUGGUCCGAAGGCGUACAUAUUUCAGUACACAUUUGAUAAAUAAAUGCCGUUGAGUAGUACAAGAACCUUGUUUAUAUCCAGUAAAAGCUAUAUAACUUGGUAAAUUUACCGCUACGUAAGGACAACUACCCAAUGCUAGUUGUACCGGUAGAGUCACACAUAUUUCUAUCUCGUGGUAAUAACAUUUUUCCAUAUAUGCAGAGAAAUCCAUAUACAGGGUGUGACGUUCGCAUCGUUCUACGCCUUGCUGUAUCACUGCUAUACGUAUAAAAUUGAAAUGCCUACUUACGAUUGGGAAUCACCUGCUGAUUUGGCACGAACUGCGAUAUUCUACUGUGACGAACUUCUUAAAAUCAAGUUGGAAGCUGUUCUCCUAAAUGAAAUCAGUUUUACAAACGUUCUCGAACUUCUAGACCUAGCCAUUACCCUAAACUACGAGAUUGUAGGACGCCACUGUGUGAAAUUCAUUCUCAAAAAUAAACCCCAAAUAUUAGAAUCAGCUAGCAAGAGAGAUUUCGAAAAUAUCGGCAUCGGUACGCUUCGAUUUAGGAUGGAAGAGUGAAACAAAGGCGACGCUCAC